RNAcentral lists this ribosomal RNA (252 nucleotides) under uncultured bacterium. RNAcentral's name for it is "partial 16S ribosomal RNA". It matches the Rfam family "Bacterial small subunit ribosomal RNA", at positions 524 to 776 of the family's 1533-position model. The record is from RNAcentral.
UACGAAGGUCCCAAGCGUUAUCCGGAUUUAUUGGGUUUAAAGGGUGCGUAGGCGGGCUAUUAAGUCAGUGGUGAAAGCCCCAAGCUUAACUUGGGACUGCCAUUGAUACUGAUGGUCUUGAGUACAUUUGAGGUGGGCGGAAUGUGUCAUGUAGCGGUGAAAUGCUUAGAUAUGACACAGAACACCGAUUGCGAAGGCAGCUCACUAAACUGUAACUGACGCUGAGGCACGAAAGUGUGGGGAUCAAACAGG